RNAcentral lists this ribosomal RNA (588 nucleotides) under Triticum aestivum (bread wheat). Its description in RNAcentral is "partial small subunit ribosomal RNA". Lineage: Eukaryota; Viridiplantae; Streptophyta; Magnoliopsida; Poales; Poaceae. The record is from RNAcentral.
UGUGCAGAGGGAAAUAGCAGGUUGUGCGUCUCUGUCAGAGACUACUACUGUUAUAUGCUGCAGACACGGCCUGCAAUCUUCAAUCCCAUACACUGUGGAGCAUGACUGCUGCAGCAAUGGGCUGUCGACAUGUACGUUAAGAUUGAGAGCUGUCGGUUGAGGUAGUACAGGAAGAACCAGACGCAGAUUCAUGCCGACUUGUAUAAAGGAGUGGUUGAUGCCAUCACUUCGGGGGAGACGCGAGCAAGCGUUGUUGGGGUUAGAAUAGUGCUCCCUGGAACAUACCCUGGGGGCGACCACGACAUGAAGAAGAGACAUAUGGAUGCCAUGGCAAUUGUCCAUACAUACGGGAAGCCAGACAUCUUCCUCACCAUGACUUGCAAUCCUAAAUGGGAAGAGAUAACAAAUGAGUUGUUGCCUGGUCAGACGGCACAAGACCGACCUGAUAUUGUGGCUCGUGUGUUCUAUGGCAAACUAGAGCACAUGAAAUACAUGUUGUUCAGGAAGCAGAUCCUGGGUGUUGUAGUUGCUUACGUAUAUGUAGUCGAGUUCCAAAAAGGGGCCUCCCCCACGCGCAUUUUUUGUUGA